This 449-nucleotide long non-coding RNA is filed under the name Elaeis guineensis (African oil palm). RNAcentral describes it as "long non-coding RNA (EGUI_LNC044542)". The record is from RNAcentral. Lineage: Eukaryota; Viridiplantae; Streptophyta; Magnoliopsida; Arecales; Arecaceae.
UUUUCUCUAAAGCUCCUCCUCUUCCUCUCUUCCUCCUCUAAGUAGUCUUCUAGUUUGGAGCAUCCAAGGCUUGUGAAGAAGAAAGAAGAAAUCUACCUCCAAGAUCCUUACAAGCUAGCACUUCCAUGGAGCCUGAUCUGCACUGAUCUUCAUGUGGAUAUUUCGUAGAGGCCAGACAACUUUGUGUGGCUGUGAGCAAUCUGAGAGAGAUUCUUUCCAAGUGUUGGACCAGCAGAGAUCAAAAAACUUUAGUUUGGUAAUGGUUUCUAAACUUUCUUGAUCAUGUUUGUUAGAUCUAAUGGUUAGAUCUACAUGGCAGCAUUGAUUAGAUUGAUGCAAGCUUUUAUUUUUAGAUAUAAAGUGAAUUUUAGUUCAUAUUAUUUAUUUUGAUAUGAUAGUCUAGAUUAGAUCUUAUAUAUAUAAUUUAAAUUAAAUUAUUUAAUCUUAUU